RNAcentral lists this ribosomal RNA (305 nucleotides) under uncultured bacterium. RNAcentral describes it as "bacterial SSU rRNA". It matches the Rfam family "Bacterial small subunit ribosomal RNA", at positions 335 to 637 of the family's 1533-position model. The record is from RNAcentral.
AAUCCUACGGGAGGCAGCAGUGAGGAAUAUUGGUCAAUGGGCGGGAGCCUGAACCAGCCAAGUCGCGUGAGGGACGACGGUCCUAUGGAUUGUAAACCUCUUUUGUCGGGGAACAAAGGCGCCCACGGGUGGGCGGAUGAGUGUACCCGAAGAAAAAGCAUCGGCUAACUCCGUGCCAGCAGCCGCGGUAAUACGGAGGAUCCGAGCGUUAUCCGGAUUUAUUGGGUUUAAAGGGAGCGUAGAUGGGUUGUUAAGUCAGUUGUGAAAGUUUGCGGCUCAACCGUAAAAUUGCAAUUGAUACUGGC